UGGCCCUCCACCUCCAACAGGGAACAGGAGGUUAGUCACUCUCCUCUGUUCUGGGGCACAGGGCGGACUCUCCGCACAGGUUUCAUCCAUUGAAUCCCACGCAUUCUCUUCUUUGAACAAAUCGAAUCUUUUUGUUGCUUUCUGGAUGAGUUUGCUUUUCAGGCUCCUUGGGAGCAAGUGGGAGGAUGUCACUUGCCUCCAUCAUCAACCUCCAUGAGGAAAGAGGAGUCUGCUCAGUAGAGGACCAGAGUCACAUUUUCUCAGCAGAAUGGAUGGGAACUCAGAACAGUUCACCGACUGAGAAAUGGCACUGAUGGGCUCAGCACCUCCGAAGAUGAGAUGUGGCAGCUUUAAGAAGACUACGUUGGCCUAAUUGGGGAACACAGCCUAUGACUUGGAAGAAAGUGGUUUCCACAAAGGUGCCACAGCCUUACUGAGAUGGGAGCACAUCAUGGACUUGAGGCCUCAGGACAGCGUGAAGCCGAGGGGCCCAAAACCUGGAGCUGAGGCAGGUAGACUGCUUGGAGCGCCGAACCAGGAGCCCCUGGUUCUGAAGGGCUCAAAAAGCCACUUCUGUGAGCAGACCAAAACACGAAGAAAAGUGUCCAGCUAAGGGGAAUGAAGCCCCCGGCAGCUGGGAGGUCAGCAGUCUUGCUGGCCCUUGAUGUGCACGGUGUGGCCUUACAUGUAUGGACCCGGCUCCGUUCUCACCCUCCUAGGAGUAGCCAACUGUAUGGUCAGGAAGGGGUGAACGGAGAGGCGUGAACUUGACCUGAGCCGUGUGAGCCAUGGGGGUUAGGUAUGGGAGCCCCAGCUGAAGCAGCCAGGUGGAUGAAGAUUUUCAGGGGAAGGGCUGGUCAAGUGCCCCAUUCACAGGAGGGAGGGCACUGAAUCCUUCCUCACGAUUUCCGCCUCCCGCUGUCCUUGCUUACUUCUUACAACAUGGAGACAUCUCACUGUCCUGGACUUACAGGCAAUUUUGCUUCUAAUAGCCCCUCAUUCUUUACACAUGGACAAUCUCACCUCUGUUAAAAGUAAGACAAUAGGGCCUGGCCUGGUGGCGCAGCAGUUAAGUUUGCACAUUCCGCUUCUCAGCAGCCUGGGGUUCUCCGGUUUGGAUCCCGGGUGCGAACAUGGCACCACUCAUCAAGCCAUGCUGUGGUAGGCAUCCCACAUAUAAAGUAGAGGGUGAUGGGCAUGGAUUUUAGCUCAGGGCCAGUGUUCCUCAGCAAAAAGAGGAGGAUUGGCAGUAGUUAGCUCAGGGCUAAUCUGCCUCAAAAAAAAAAAAAGACAAUAGGCCGAAAUGGAGUCACUUAUGCUAAGUGCCACAUCACCAAACUGAGACUUAAGUUAAUUACACUUUUGGCCUCUCCCUGAAAUGGAGUCUUAAACCAGUCAAUCAGGAAUCGCCUGAUCAGUGCUAGUGAGGUCAUCAGCCUGACAGACCCCUGCUAUCCCCUAAAGGAAAGUGACCUUGCCACAGCCACUCUGCUCUUUGCUAGGAUAAUGUCCUUGUUCCCGCCCCCUUCUGCCUAUAAAAGUCUUUCAUUUCGUACAGCUCCUCGGAGCAUCUUUCUAUCUGCCAGAUCAGAUGCUGCCCGAUUCAUGAAUUGUUGAAUAAAGC
This is a long non-coding RNA of Equus caballus (horse), 1624 nucleotides long. The record is from Ensembl. NCBI's taxonomy places the organism in Eukaryota, Metazoa, Chordata, Mammalia, Perissodactyla, Equidae.